RNAcentral lists this ribosomal RNA (2902 nucleotides) under Staphylococcus aureus. RNAcentral describes it as "bacterial LSU rRNA". It matches the Rfam family "Bacterial large subunit ribosomal RNA". The record is from RNAcentral. Lineage: Bacteria; Bacillati; Bacillota; Bacilli; Caryophanales; Staphylococcaceae.
CGGUGGAUGCCUUGGCACUAGAAGCCGAUGAAGGACGUUACUAACGACGAUAUGCUUUGGGGAGCUGUAAGUAAGCUUUGAUCCAGAGAUUUCCGAAUGGGGAAACCCAGCAUGAGUUAUGUCAUGUUAUCGAUAUGUGAAUACAUAGCAUAUCAGAAGGCACACCCGGAGAACUGAAACAUCUUAGUACCCGGAGGAAGAGAAAGAAAAUUCGAUUCCCUUAGUAGCGGCGAGCGAAACGGGAAGAGCCCAAACCAACAAGCUUGCUUGUUGGGGUUGUAGGACACUCUAUACGGAGUUACAAAGGACGACAUUAGACGAAUCAUCUGGAAAGAUGAAUCAAAGAAGGUAAUAAUCCUGUAGUCGAAAAUGUUGUCUCUCUUGAGUGGAUCCUGAGUACGACGGAGCACGUGAAAUUCCGUCGGAAUCUGGGAGGACCAUCUCCUAAGGCUAAAUACUCUCUAGUGACCGAUAGUGAACCAGUACCGUGAGGGAAAGGUGAAAAGCACCCCGGAAGGGGAGUGAAAUAGAACCUGAAACCGUGUGCUUACAAGUAGUCAGAGCCCGUUAAUGGGUGAUGGCGUGCCUUUUGUAGAAUGAACCGGCGAGUUACGAUUUGAUGCAAGGUUAAGCAGUAAAUGUGGAGCCGUAGCGAAAGCGAGUCUGAAUAGGGCGUUUAGUAUUUGGUCGUAGACCCGAAACCAGGUGAUCUACCCUUGGUCAGGUUGAAGUUCAGGUAACACUGAAUGGAGGACCGAACCGACUUACGUUGAAAAGUGAGCGGAUGAACUGAGGGUAGCGGAGAAAUUCCAAUCGAACCUGGAGAUAGCUGGUUCUCUCCGAAAUAGCUUUAGGGCUAGCCUCAAGUGAUGAUUAUUGGAGGUAGAGCACUGUUUGGACGAGGGGCCCCUCUCGGGUUACCGAAUUCAGACAAACUCCGAAUGCCAAUUAAUUUAACUUGGGAGUCAGAACAUGGGUGAUAAGGUCCGUGUUCGAAAGGGAAACAGCCCAGACCACCAGCUAAGGUCCCAAAAUAUAUGUUAAGUGGAAAAGGAUGUGGCGUUGCCCAGACAACUAGGAUGUUGGCUUAGAAGCAGCCAUCAUUUAAAGAGUGCGUAAUAGCUCACUAGUCGAGUGACACUGCGCCGAAAAUGUACCGGGGCUAAACAUAUUACCGAAGCUGUGGAUUGUCCUUUGGACAAUGGUAGGAGAGCGUUCUAAGGGCGUUGAAGCAUGAUCGUAAGGACAUGUGGAGCGCUUAGAAGUGAGAAUGCCGGUGUGAGUAGCGAAAGACGGGUGAGAAUCCCGUCCACCGAUUGACUAAGGUUUCCAGAGGAAGGCUCGUCCGCUCUGGGUUAGUCGGGUCCUAAGCUGAGGCCGACAGGCGUAGGCGAUGGAUAACAGGUUGAUAUUCCUGUACCACCUAUAAUCGUUUUAAUCGAUGGGGGGACGCAGUAGGAUAGGCGAAGCGUGCGAUUGGAUUGCACGUCUAAGCAGUAAGGCUGAGUAUUAGGCAAAUCCGGUACUCAUUAAGGCUGAGCUGUGAUGGGGAGAAGACAUUGUGUCUUCGAGUCGUUGAUUUCACACUGCCGAGAAAAGCCUCUAGAUAGAAAAUAGGUGCCCGUACCGCAAACCGACACAGGUAGUCAAGAUGAGAAUUCUAAGGUGAGCGAGCGAACUCUCGUUAAGGAACUCGGCAAAAUGACCCCGUAACUUCGGGAGAAGGGGUGCUCUUUAGGGUUAACGCCCAGAAGAGCCGCAGUGAAUAGGCCCAAGCGACUGUUUAUCAAAAACACAGGUCUCUGCUAAACCGUAAGGUGAUGUAUAGGGGCUGACGCCUGCCCGGUGCUGGAAGGUUAAGAGGAGUGGUUAGCUUCUGCGAAGCUACGAAUCGAAGCCCCAGUAAACGGCGGCCGUAACUAUAACGGUCCUAAGGUAGCGAAAUUCCUUGUCGGGUAAGUUCCGACCCGCACGAAAGGCGUAACGAUUUGGGCACUGUCUCAACGAGAGACUCGGUGAAAUCAUAGUACCUGUGAAGAUGCAGGUUACCCGCGACAGGACGGAAAGACCCCGUGGAGCUUUACUGUAGCCUGAUAUUGAAAUUCGGCACAGCUUGUACAGGAUAGGUAGGAGCCUUUGAAACGUGAGCGCUAGCUUACGUGGAGGCGCUGGUGGGAUACUACCCUAGCUGUGUUGGCUUUCUAACCCGCACCACUUAUCGUGGUGGGAGACAGUGUCAGGCGGGCAGUUUGACUGGGGCGGUCGCCUCCUAAAAGGUAACGGAGGCGCUCAAAGGUUCCCUCAGAAUGGUUGGAAAUCAUUCAUAGAGUGUAAAGGCAUAAGGGAGCUUGACUGCGAGACCUACAAGUCGAGCAGGGUCGAAAGACGGACUUAGUGAUCCGGUGGUUCCGCAUGGAAGGGCCAUCGCUCAACGGAUAAAAGCUACCCCGGGGAUAACAGGCUUAUCUCCCCCAAGAGUUCACAUCGACGGGGAGGUUUGGCACCUCGAUGUCGGCUCAUCGCAUCCUGGGGCUGUAGUCGGUCCCAAGGGUUGGGCUGUUCGCCCAUUAAAGCGGUACGCGAGCUGGGUUCAGAACGUCGUGAGACAGUUCGGUCCCUAUCCGUCGUGGGCGUAGGAAAUUUGAGAGGAGCUGUCCUUAGUACGAGAGGACCGGGAUGGACAUACCUCUGGUGUACCAGUUGUCGUGCCAACGGCAUAGCUGGGUAGCUAUGUGUGGACGGGAUAAGUGCUGAAAGCAUCUAAGCAUGAAGCCCCCCUCAAGAUGAGAUUUCCCAACUUCGGUUAUAAGAUCCCUCAAAGAUGAUGAGGUUAAUAGGUUCGAGGUGGAAGCAUGGUGACAUGUGGAGCUGACGAAUACUAAUCGAUCGAAGACUUAAUCAA